CCUACGGGUGGCAGCAGUGGGGAAUAUUGCACAAUGGGCGCAAGCCUGAUGCAGCCAUGGCGCGUGUGUGAAGAAGGCCUUCGGGUUGUAAAGCACUUUCAGCGGGGAGGAAGGCGGUGAGGUUAAUAACCUCAUCGAUUGACGUUACCCGCAGAAGAAGCACCGGCUAACUCCGUGCCAGCAGCCGCGGUAAUACGGAGGGUGCAAGCGUUAAUCGGAAUUACUGGGCGUAAAGCGCACGCAGGCGGUCUGUCAAGUCGGAUGUGAAAUCCCCGGGCUCAACCUGGGAACUGCAUUCGAAACUGGCAGGCUAGAGUCUUGUAGAGGGGGGUAGAAUUCCAGGUGUAGCGGUGAAAUGCGUAGAGAUCUGGAGGAAUACCGGUGGCGAAGGCGGCCCCCUGGACAAAGACUGACGCUCAGGUGCGAAAGCGUGGGGAGCAAACAGGAUUAGAUACCCUAGUAGUC
RNAcentral lists this ribosomal RNA (465 nucleotides) under uncultured Klebsiella sp. RNAcentral describes it as "bacterial SSU rRNA". It matches the Rfam family "Bacterial small subunit ribosomal RNA", at positions 338 to 795 of the family's 1533-position model. The record is from RNAcentral. Lineage: Bacteria; Pseudomonadati; Pseudomonadota; Gammaproteobacteria; Enterobacterales; Enterobacteriaceae.